RNAcentral lists this long non-coding RNA (337 nucleotides) under Rattus norvegicus (Norway rat). RNAcentral describes it as "long non-coding RNA NONRATT024904". Lineage: Eukaryota; Metazoa; Chordata; Mammalia; Rodentia; Muridae. The record is from RNAcentral.
AAAAGACAGAAGCAGAGAAACAAGACUUAGGAAAGAAGUGGACAGAUGGCCGUAGCAGUGAUCAUCAUCACUUGUGCGGUUCUAUCAAUCUACCUAUGCAUUUCUACGCCACCUCUCACCAGAGUGCUUGCCUCCUGUUCUCCCUAAGCAAUGAGGUUAAUAUUGAAGGACCAGGUCCAUGGUGCUGGAAGAAUCCAGGCGGAGAGGACAGAACCAAUCUUUGCAGCAUCUGCUUCCAUUGUCCUCCCCAUUUCAUCUUAACCACAUCCCUGGCCUUUUAUUUCUUUCCCACAAUGUGAGGGCAAUAAAGAUUAACCUAUCUACUUAAGUUUUGUAA